GUUUUAAUAAUUUAAUUAAAAUACUGGUCUUGUAAACCAGAAAUAAAGUCAUCUUUUUAAAACA
RNAcentral lists this transfer RNA (64 nucleotides) under Glaresis sp. GLA01. RNAcentral describes it as "tRNA-Thr". It matches the Rfam family "tRNA". Rfam says of the family: Transfer RNA (tRNA) molecules are approximately 80 nucleotides in length. The record is from RNAcentral. Lineage: Eukaryota; Metazoa; Arthropoda; Insecta; Coleoptera; Glaresidae.